Molecule: long non-coding RNA, 1071 nt
Organism: Oenanthe melanoleuca
Lineage: Eukaryota; Metazoa; Chordata; Aves; Passeriformes; Muscicapidae
Exons: 5
Source: RefSeq, a predicted model, not a curated record
CUGUCCCCUGCCAGGGAAUGUCCCUCCCGUGCCAGCAGGAGGUGGCUUUGUCCCCUCGGGGUGGCCUUGGGGACACUUUGCUGCUGCUGUCUGAGGUGCUGAAGCUGCACAUUCCCCCCCACCACGGCCAGAAGGAGCUGGAAAAGCAAACUGGUUGUUACUGGUUGAAACUGGAGGCUGAAAUUCUCUUUAUUCACCGAGCAGAGGCACGUGAAUUUUAUGAUAAUUUUGCUUCAUUGCAGCGCUGCAAACUCUGGGGGCCACUUUGAAGCUUUUAAGGAUAAAAUGGAUCCACACCCAGGCUGCAGAGCUCCCAGACUGGAUUUUUUUGGUGUUUUGUUCGAGUUUUCUCCCUCAAACUGGGCUGCUGCAGAGGGAAGGAGCUGUGACUCACUGGGCUUGACUGCUGAGCAGCCAAUAUGGAAUUUAAAGAGGCAAAAACUGGCACAAUUCCCUGAAAACACUGCUGAGUUUCCCAUUUCCCUGCAGAACAGGAGCUGGAAUUCACAGCACAGAACCACAAGAGGAGGAGAAACCUGGGUCAUUUCUCCUGAGUCACCACGAGAGGGACACAGAAGGAAACAAAAGGAGCUGGGAAAUAAAAAACCCAAGGAACAACUCGAGGUUUAAUUUGGGAUAAAUAUUCCCAGAACAGAUCACAGGGAUGAAACACCAUGAAGGAAAAGGAGAGGAAGAUUUGACCAAAAUGCAGAGAUUUGGAAUGAAGAGAGUCCUUAGAAAUUAAGCUCCAGCAGCGAGGAGAUUCCCAGGAUCCCAGAGCUCUGCCUGCACAGGACAAAACAUCCCGAUGUUUCCAGUACAAUUCCAGUUAAUUAUUCCCGGUUUCCUCGGCGUGUCUGGGCUCCCGCUGGCUGCUGGAGGAGGAGGAGCUCAUUGUUACAGAUGAGCUGAAGGCAGAGAUCGGAAUCUUUAUUGUCCUCGUUAGCAAACGCCGUGAAUAGUGCAGGAAAAAAUGCGGGGUUUGAACGAGGGGCUGGGAUCGCGCCAUGGCAUUGACUGCCGGGAUGGGGAUCGCUGGGGCAGGGCGGCUCUGGCAGCAUUCCUGCAUUC